GGUGGCUCAGUGGUAGAGUGCUUGCCUUGCAAUGCAUGAGGCCCUGGGUUCGAUUUUCAGCACCA
Molecule: transfer RNA, 65 nt
Filed under: Dipodomys ordii (Ord's kangaroo rat)
Lineage: Eukaryota; Metazoa; Chordata; Mammalia; Rodentia; Heteromyidae
Rfam family: tRNA
About the family: Transfer RNA (tRNA) molecules are approximately 80 nucleotides in length. Their secondary structure includes four short double-helical elements and three loops (D, anti-codon, and T loops).
Source: Rfam by way of RNAcentral